This is a non-coding RNA of Marasmius sp. AFHP31, 96 nucleotides long. The record is from the annotation of a GenBank genome assembly. NCBI's taxonomy places the organism in Eukaryota, Fungi, Basidiomycota, Agaricomycetes, Agaricales, Marasmiaceae.
GGCCUAAUGGUCUAGUAGUAUGAUUCUCGCUUUGGGUUUUACUCGCUCAUCGUAGAUCUUUGCGAGAGGUCCUGGGUUCAAUUCCCAGUUGGGCCC